GAUGAAGAACGUAGCGAAAUGCGAUAAGUAAUGUGAAUUGCAGAAUUCAGUGAAUCAUCGAAUCUUUGAACGCAUCUUGCGCUCCGUGGUAUUCUGAGGAGCAUGCCUGUUUGAGUGUCAUUAAAUUCUCAACUACACUGACUUUGAAUUGGUGUGGCUUGGAUUUGGGGGGAAAAUUGUUGUGGGCUUUUUGUAUAGUCUGCUCCCCUGAAAUUGAUUAGCGGUACCUUUGUGGAACUGUCUACAGGUGUGAUAAUUAUCUACAUCUUAGACAUCUGCUGGAAUGCUGCUUUCUAAACCUUACUUGUAUUGACAAUCUUGACCUCAAAUCAGGUAGGACUACCCGCUGAACUUAAGCAUAUCAAUAAGCGGAGGA
This 376-nucleotide unclassified non-coding RNA is filed under the name soil metagenome. Its description in RNAcentral is "partial contains 5.8S ribosomal RNA, internal transcribed spacer 2, and large subunit ribosomal RNA". The stretch from base 1 to 120 matches the Rfam family "5.8S ribosomal RNA", at positions 35 to 154 of the family's 154-position model. The record is from RNAcentral.